CGCAAUGGACAUAAAACGUGUGACGGAU
RNAcentral lists this small RNA (28 nucleotides) under Bombyx mori (domestic silkworm). RNAcentral describes it as "ovarian small RNA-14311". Lineage: Eukaryota; Metazoa; Arthropoda; Insecta; Lepidoptera; Bombycidae. The record is from RNAcentral.